Molecule: transfer RNA, 73 nt
Filed under: Fasciola hepatica (liver fluke)
Lineage: Eukaryota; Metazoa; Platyhelminthes; Trematoda; Plagiorchiida; Fasciolidae
Description: tRNA-Thr
Source: RNAcentral
GCCGCAAUGGCUCAGUUGAUAGAGCGUCCGCCCAGUAAGCGGAGUGUCACUAAUCCGAUUCAAGUUCGCGGCU